GUCGUGGGGCAGCAUGAAGUAGCAAUACUUUGAUGGCGACCGGCAAACGGGUGCGGAACACGUACACAACCUUCCUUUUAGUGGGGAAUAGCCCAGAGAAAUUUGGAUUAAUACCCCGUAACAUAGCGAUGUGGCAUCACAUUGCUAUUAUAGCUUCGGCGCUAGAUGAUGGGUGUGCGUAUGAUUAGAUAGUUGGCGAGGUAACGGCUCACCAAGUCUACGAUCAUUAGCUGAUGUGAGAGCAUGAUCAGCCACACGGGCACUGAGACACGGGCCCGACUCCUACGGGAGGCAGCAGUAAGGAAUAUUGGUCAAUGGACGAAAGUCUGAACCAGCCAUGCCGCGUGAAGGAUUAAGGUCCUCUGGAUUGUAAACUUCUUUUAUAUGGGACGAAAAAAGGUCUUUCUAGAUCACUUGACGGUACCAUAUGAAUAAGCACCGGCUAACUCCGUGCCAGCAGCCGCGGUAAUACGGAGGGUGCAAGCGUUAUCCGGAUUCACUGGGUUUAAAGGGUGCGUAGGCGGGUAGGUAAGUCAGUGGUGAAAUCCUGGAGCUCAACUCCAGAACUGCCAUUGAUACUAUCUAUCUUGAAUAUUGUGGAGGUAAGCGGAAUAUGUCAUGUAGCGGUGAAAUGCUUAGAUAUGACAUAGAACACCCAUUGCGAAGGCAGCUUACUACGCAUAUAUUGACGCUGAGGCACGAAAGCGUGGGGAUCAAACAGGAUUAGAUACCCUGGUAGUCCACGCCCUAAACGAUGGAUACUCGACAUACGCGAUACACUGUGUGUGUCUGAGCG
RNAcentral lists this ribosomal RNA (796 nucleotides) under uncultured Bacteroidota bacterium. RNAcentral describes it as "bacterial SSU rRNA". It matches the Rfam family "Bacterial small subunit ribosomal RNA", at positions 61 to 853 of the family's 1533-position model. The record is from RNAcentral. Lineage: Bacteria; Pseudomonadati; Bacteroidota.